GCGCAUCUCUGACAGACCUGGAGCAGUUAAUGUCUGCUGCUAAGGUUUCCACUGCAGAUGCAGAAAAAGAUGGUCUUCAUGCUUUCUGUCUGGUUGUGGCAGCCAAGAUUGAAUGGGGGAAUACAGGA
RNAcentral lists this small nucleolar RNA (128 nucleotides) under Dasypus novemcinctus (nine-banded armadillo). Its description in RNAcentral is "Small nucleolar RNA SNORA31 (ENSDNOG00000034974.1)". It matches the Rfam family "Small nucleolar RNA SNORA31". Rfam says of the family: ACA31 (SNORA31) belongs to the H/ACA class of snoRNAs which are thought to guide the sites of modification of uridines to pseudouridines. ACA31 is predicted to guide the pseudouridylation of U3713 in 28S rRNA and U218 in 18S rRNA. Lineage: Eukaryota; Metazoa; Chordata; Mammalia; Cingulata; Dasypodidae. The record is from RNAcentral.